This is a long non-coding RNA of Zea mays, 3930 nucleotides long. RefSeq lists it as uncharacterized. The record is from RefSeq and is a predicted model, not a curated record. NCBI's taxonomy places the organism in Eukaryota, Viridiplantae, Streptophyta, Magnoliopsida, Poales, Poaceae. The transcript has 2 exons.
CAUAAUUUUCUUUCCCUUUCCAUUUGUUUAUUUCUCUAUGCUUAAAUUUUCUGUCUCUUUGCACCAAAAUAAUGGUUUAUCAGACAGUGGUAUAAUGACUCAACAUGUUGAUUUAUCCGACAAAUUUCUAUGCUGAAUGCAAUCCAUGAAGCACAUGGAAAGGAAAACCGUCAGGGUCACCGAAUAAAAUGAGAAUCACAGCAUGACUGGUUAGGUUCACUUAAAAAGCCUUACCCGGUAUUCGUUCUAGCCAAAAAGGGUAUCUAGGAGUGAGUUCAGUAGUUAACCUCAUAAGGGAAGGGUGUUGGUUGGUUAAGUUUAGAUUGUGGGGGCAGGCUGGUCUAGUUUGCUUUCUUUCUUCUCCUUUUUCUUUUUCUUUUUCUUUAUAUUUCUUUUUCUGUUGUGUUUGUAAUUGGUCUAAUUUUUAGACCCUUCUUCUUAAUACAAUGAUACGCAGCUCUCCUGCGUGUUCGGAAAAAAAAAGUUGGAGCGGCCAUCCAUGAGUAAACCACCAAGCCAGUGAAUCAUAAUGCUGAGCCGUUAGGUGACUAUUCCAGCUUUUUUCUGGAUGGUACGUUGUAGUGCUUAAAAAAUAGGAGCCUAGCAGUACCUAGGCAUUGACUAGACACAACGCUGUGGUUUGACCCUGCUCCUGGACUAGAUGGACAUGCUUCCAGGCAAAAUAGGAGGUGAGGCAUCGGAGGAAGUUAUGAUAAUUGAGGUAGCGAAGGUGCUUACAAUGCUGUGGUAAAGUCCAUGGGCUAGGAGUGUGCUGAUCCGGGUUCGAAUUUGUGGUGCCACACUAUAUUACAAUUCUGGGGUUUUCCCUGGAGUAUUCUUUCAAAAAAGAAAAUGAUAACUGAGUUGGGUUACGAAGCAUUGUCAAUGGCUGUAAUGCAAGAGUCUGGUGUUUUUUUUCAAACGAUGCAUGCUCCUUCAUCCCCACUCUCUUUGUCACUCUUGUCCUCGUCCUUCCCUACCUCACACCCCAACCCCCUACUUUUAGGUGGCUAGCUAGAUGGUGCCAGUACUGAUGGUGCCAUGGCUACUGAAGUUCAUGUGGGAAAUGUUGAAUAGAAGAAGCGUAGUUCUUGUUUACGUUUUCGGCUAUGUUUGGUGUGUUAGCCAGUUUGUGUGUUCAGGAUCAGGGGUGUCCGUGCGGGCUUUAAAGCCUUGUUUGAUUUCAGUUGAGUGUGAUUUUUUUUAUCGAACACACAGGAGAGCUGCGUGUCAUUAUAUUAAGAAGAAGAAAAAAACAAAUAACAGUGGGGGAAAGAAACCCCAAUACAAUCACAGCGCGCAGCUUGGGCACACACUACAGGGACCCUAAUCAUCUGCCGGCUCCAAACUGGAAACAGCAGCAGGAAGCACGCCUGCAACACAUGUAGACACCCCUACACCUAGCCGAAACUAACCCGUAGGACUCUGCGCUUGAAGGAAGGAAAUCCCCUUAGCACCAGCCAACAACCACAAAAAGGCUUCCUCCUUUGCCAACCUAACAGCCACGACCAUAUUCAGAGGAGAUCCUUGAAAGACAAUAACAUUCCUUUGUUUCCACAACAUCCAAGCUCCCAGGACAACCAUAGAGUCAAAUCCUUUUUUGCUUAGCCGACUCAAACGAGCACUAUUGAAGCACCACCACUGAUCAAAAUCAUUCUUACUCGGCCUUGGAUGAAGGUUGUGCAUCCCAAAGGGCCCGAGCAUUCCUCUCUAAUAUAUAAGAUGCGCAGUUCUCCUGCGCGUUCGAUAAAAAAAGGGCCCGAGCAGCUCAAACCAAAACUACCGCACAAAGGAGCAGCCCACCAGCAGGUGGUUGAUUGUCUCAUCCUGCCGAUCACAUAGCGGGCAAUGGAUGGGAUGAGUUAGCCCUCUUCUUGCUGUUAAGGCCCAUUAGGCCUAGGCCUACUGUCUAUAUAUAUAUCAUAUGUCAUUAGGGACUAAUUAUCAUUUGUCAAUCCCAAGGUUAGUAACAUGGUAAUAGAGGAUGUUAAGAUUAGGGUUUUCCUAAAUUUCUAGCCGCCGUAGCCUUCCCACCCAUCAGCCGUAGCGGCCUUCCCACCUAGCCGCCGUCGCGGUCCUCUCCUGUUGGCCGCCGUCGAGGUCCUCUGCCUCUACCAGGCUGCGCGGCCCUUCGUCGCGCGCGCCGUCUUCGUCCGCCGCCGCGCGGCUUCCCCUCGCGUAGCCCGUCGUCGUGCGCGCGGUCCGCCGGCAUCAUCUUCGUCCACCGCCGUCGCGCGGUUCCCCCGCGAGCGGUCCGCCUCGCCAGCCGCCGUCGCGGCCUCCCGUCAGCCGCUGUUGCGCGGUUUCCCCGCGUGCGGAGCUGCUGCGACCCCCGCAUCUGCGCCGUUCGUCGCGGCCCCGCUGUUCUUCGCCGUCAGCGCGCAACACAGGGUGUUCGCUGCCGCACCAUCUGCGUCGUCCUGCCGUCUGCUUCUGCGUCGCACGCAGCCUAGACCAGAUCUGCUGUACUCUGUUCGAUCUGCUAUGAAUUUGCACGGUUUCGUCCAGGAAUGCAACCGGCGUAUCCACUGUUCAUCCGCUGCUCCCGCUAGGGAUUUUGGUACCAUUCAGCCAGUCUCUCUCAGAUCUGUUAUUCUUUAGUGUUUUAUUGCUCUUCAAUAUGUCAGCCAACGCUAUUGUUGUCAAUAUUGUGCUUGAUGGGCAGAAUUACCCAGAAUGGGCCUUUUGUGUUUAGACUGCAUUAAGAGGUCACGGUUUACUAUUUCAUUUGACUGAAGAUUCACCAGUUUUAGCAGCCGAUAGAAGCAAUGCUGCUGCAAUCAAGACUUGGCAGAUCAAUGAUGGUAAGGUAAUGACUGCAAUGGUCAAAAGCACUAAACCAACUAUGAUUAUGAGUCUGUCCAAAUUCACCACUGCUAAAGCUAUCUGGUCACAUCUGAAGGACCGGUUUGUUCAGGACAGCGGUGCUCUUUUACAUACCCUUAUGCAACAGACUCAUGUCAUUGAGCAACAUGAUAUGUCCAUUGAUGAAUACUAUUCCGCCUUUGAUCGUCUUAUGAGUGCAUUGACCUCUAUGGUGCCUGCUUGUACAGCUGUGCCUUGCCCAGCUCACAAGUUCAUCGAGAAGUUUUUUACCUACAGAUUUGUUAUGGGAGUUCAAUCUGAAUUUGAUUCUCUUCGUGCAAGACUGCUUCACAGUUCUGAUACUCACCAUGGCUCAGGCGUUGUCUGAAUUACUUGCUGAAGAGACUCGUCUUAAGUCUAUGUCUUCUAUUACUGGUGUGAGUUCUGACAGUGUGUUGGCCGCUGCUCAGAAGUCAAGAAACACCUGUUUCCAGCCUUGUGAACAUUGCAAAAUGGCCACUCAUCGGUCUGAGAACUGCUUUGCUAAGUUUCCAGAGAAGUUGGCUGAUUUCCGUGUCCGUCGUGCUACUCGUGGUCGUGGUACAGGACCAUCUCCUAGAGGCUCAGUUGCAGUUGCUGCUACUUCAUCUGCUGGUGCUUUGUCAUCAUCUUGGGUUCUUGAUUAUGGAGCUUCUUUUGUGACAUCUGAUCAAUCACGGUUGGCGUCUACUACACCUGUCACCGAGGGUACUUCUGUUCAGACUGCUGAUGGAUCGAACACACAAGGGAUGUGAUUGGGACUGGCCAUCGUCGUAAAUCUUCGCCUCGCCUCUACAUCUUGGACACCUUGCAUCUUCCUUCACACCAUAUCACCACAACUCAUGUGCUUGCUGCUUCAUUCCCUCGACGUCGUUCGCCCAAUGGCAUCAUUGUCUUGGUCACUUAUGUGGAUCUCGUCUGUCUACUCUAAUAAAGUCAGGAUGUUUAGGUCCUACACAUGUUGAGUCUAGUUUUCAUUGUAAAGGUUGUCAUCUUGGCAAACAAAUACAACCUCCAUAUUUUACCCGUUUGUUUCUAAAGGUGGUCAUAAUAUUAUGUCAUUUUUAUUGAUGAUUAUUCUCGUUA